CAACCCUCAAGCCCCGCUUGGUGUUGGGGUCCUACGGCUGCCGUAGGCCCUGAAAGGAAGUGGCGGGCUCGCUACAACUCCGAGCGUAGUAAUUCUUUAUCUCGCUAGGGAGGUUGCGGCGCGCUCCUGCCGUUAAAGACCCCAUCUUUAACCAA
Molecule: unclassified non-coding RNA, 155 nt
Filed under: uncultured Coniochaeta
Lineage: Eukaryota; Fungi; Ascomycota; Sordariomycetes; Coniochaetales
Description: sequence contains ITS2
Source: RNAcentral